Molecule: non-coding RNA, 254 nt
Filed under: uncultured Staphylococcus sp.
Lineage: Bacteria; Bacillati; Bacillota; Bacilli; Caryophanales; Staphylococcaceae
Also listed under: 1 other name
Description: partial 16S ribosomal RNA
Rfam family: Bacterial small subunit ribosomal RNA
Source: RNAcentral
UACGUAGGUGGCAAGCGUUAUCCGGAAUUAUUGGGCGUAAAGCGCGCGUAGGCGGUUUUUUAAGUCUGAUGUGAAAGCCCACGGCUCAACCGUGGAGGGUCAUUGGAAACUGGAAAACUUGAGUGCAGAAGAGGAAAGUGGAAUUCCAUGUGUAGCGGUGAAAUGCGCAGAGAUAUGGAGGAACACCAGUGGCGAAGGCGACUUUCUGGUCUGUAACUGACGCUGAUGUGCGAAAGCGUGGGGAUCAAACAGGA